UAUUGCGCAAUGGAGGCAACUCUGACGCAGUGACGCCGCGUAUAGGAAGAAGGUUUUCGGAUUGUAAACUAUUGUCCUCAGGGAAGAAAAAAGACUGUACCUGAGAAGAAAGCUCCGGCUAACUACGUGCCAGCAGCCGCGGUAAUACGUAGGGAGCAAGCGUUAUCCGGAAUUAUUGGGUGUAAAGGGUGCGUAGACGGGAUAACAAGUUGGUUGUGAAACCCCUCGGCUCAACUGAGGAACUGCAACCAAUACUAUUAUUCUUGAGUGCAGGAGAGGAAAGUGGAAUUCCUAGUGUACCGGUGAAAUGCGUAGAUAUUAGGAAGAACACCGGUGGCGAAGGCGGCUCUCUGGUCUGUAACUGACGCUGAGGUUCGAAAGCGUGGGUAGCAAACAGG
Molecule: ribosomal RNA, 398 nt
Filed under: uncultured bacterium
Lineage: Bacteria
Description: bacterial SSU rRNA
Rfam family: Bacterial small subunit ribosomal RNA
Source: RNAcentral